GAUGAAGAACGUAGCGAAAUGCGAUAAGUAAUGUGAAUUGCAGAAUUCAGUGAAUCAUCGAAUCUUUGAACGCACAUUGCGCCCGCCAGUAUUCUGGCGGGCAUGCCUGUUCGAGCGUCAUUUCAACCAUCAAGCCCCCGGCUUGUGUUGGGGACCUGCGGCUGCCGCAGGCCCUGAAAAGCAGUAGCGGGCUCGCUGUCACACCGAGCGUAGUAGCAUACAUCUCGCUCUGGGCGUGCUGCGGGUUCCGGCCGUUAAACCACCUUCAUAACCCAAGGUUGACCUCGGAUCAGGUAGGAAGACCCGCUGAACUUAAGCAUAUCAAUAAGCGGAGGA
RNAcentral lists this unclassified non-coding RNA (336 nucleotides) under soil metagenome. RNAcentral's name for it is "partial contains 5.8S ribosomal RNA, internal transcribed spacer 2, and large subunit ribosomal RNA". The stretch from base 1 to 120 matches the Rfam family "5.8S ribosomal RNA", at positions 35 to 154 of the family's 154-position model. The record is from RNAcentral.